This 137-nucleotide ribosomal RNA is filed under the name Bison bison (American bison). RNAcentral's name for it is "partial 12S ribosomal RNA". The record is from RNAcentral. Lineage: Eukaryota; Metazoa; Chordata; Mammalia; Artiodactyla; Bovidae.
CUAGAGGAGCCUGUUCUAUAACCGAUAAACCUCACCAGUUCUUGCUAAUACAGUCUAUAUACCGCCAUCUUCAGCAAACCCUAAAAAGGAAAAAAAGUAAGCGCAAUCAUAAUACAUAAAAACGUUAGGUCAAGGUG